Tinamus guttatus (white-throated tinamou) is the source of this 312-nucleotide non-coding RNA. The record is from RefSeq and is a predicted model, not a curated record. Lineage: Eukaryota; Metazoa; Chordata; Aves; Tinamiformes; Tinamidae.
GGAAAAUAAGAGUGUGAAUGAGGGAAGCUCUCUGCAGUGUUUAGUGUCCAGUUUUCCCGGCUCCGAAGAGAAGCAGCGUCGCGAUGCCCCCUCCUGCUGAUAUAGUGAAGGUGGCGAUAGAAUGGCCAGGUGCCUUCCCCAAGUUGAUGGAAAUCGAUCAAAAAAAGCCACUGUCUUCAAUCAUAAAAGAAGUCUGUGAUGGGUGGUCUCUUGCAAAUCAUGAUCAAUAUGCACUGCAGCAUGCUGAUAGUUCCAAUUUCUACAUCACAGAAAAGAAUCGUAAUGAGAUAAAGAACGGAGCAAUCCUUCGAU